AGCUUAAAACCCAAAGGACUUGACGGUACCCCAUAUCCAUCUAGAGGAGCCUGUCCUAUAAUCGAUAAUCCCCGUUUAACCUCACCAUUUUUAGCCUAUCAGCCUGUAUACCUCCGUCGUCAGCUUACCACGUGAGCGACUUUAAGUGAGCUUAAUGCUCUUACGCCAACACGUCAGGUCAAGGUGCAGCAUAUAAAAUGGGAAGAGAUGGGCUACACUCUCUAACCUAGAAAACACGAAAGACUAUUUAUGAAACUUAGUCCGAAGGCGGAUUUAGCAGUAAAAAGAGACAAUAGAGCUCUUUUUAACACGGCCCUGGGGUGUGUACACACCGCCCGUCACCCUCUUCAAAACCAAAUUAUACAGUUCUUAACGCACCUGAACCCCAUAGAAGAGGCAAGUCGUAACAUGGUAAGCAUACCGGAAGGUGUGCUUGGAAA
This 440-nucleotide ribosomal RNA is filed under the name Dryaderces pearsoni (Pearson's slender-legged treefrog). RNAcentral's name for it is "Osteocephalus pearsoni (Pearson's slender-legged treefrog) partial 12S ribosomal RNA". It matches the Rfam family "Bacterial small subunit ribosomal RNA", at positions 891 to 1522 of the family's 1533-position model. Lineage: Eukaryota; Metazoa; Chordata; Amphibia; Anura; Hylidae. The record is from RNAcentral.